Molecule: ribosomal RNA, 469 nt
Filed under: uncultured bacterium
Lineage: Bacteria
Description: bacterial SSU rRNA
Rfam family: Bacterial small subunit ribosomal RNA
Source: RNAcentral
AUUGAACGCUGGCGGCAUGCCUUACACAUGCAAGUCGAACGGCAGCACGGGAGCAAUCCUGGUGGCGAGUGGCGAACGGGUGAGUAAUAUAUCGGAACGUGCCCAGUCGUGGGGGAUAACGUAGCGAAAGCUACGCUAAUACCGCAUACGAUCUAUGGAUGAAAGCGGGGGAUCGCAAGACCUCGCGCGAUUGGAGCGGCCGAUAUCAGAUUAGGUAGUUGGUGAGGUAAAGGCUCACCAAGCCGACGAUCUGUAGCUGGUCUGAGAGGACGACCAGCCACACUGGGACUGAGACACGGCCCAGACUCCUACGGGAGGCAGCAGUGGGGAAUUUUUGGACAAUGGGCGCAAGCCUGAUCCAGCAAUGCCGCGUGCAGGAUGAAGGCCUCGGUUGUAACGUUAGCUUUGUUACGGUAACGAAACCGGUAGGAGGCGUCUAAUAACAGUUUAGUCGUAAUAGUACGGUACC